UCCGAAAGAUCCUUGAGUCAGUCAAUCGGGCAAGUGAAGUGAUUUCCAGGCCACCUCACCACCUCCUCGUCCACGAACGACGAUCACAUCGAUAACAAGCAAGGACACACAAACAACAGUACCACCAGGGAAUUCGGCCAGUGGCGAAAAUGCAAGUGUCCACAGUCCGCUUCGUCCCGUGAGGCGGAAUGAUUCGCAUGCUGAAGCAGGCAGGGGGCGAAUCAGGAUGCCAGGGAGCGCUGACCACCAAGCACCAGACGCCGAGCGCUGCUACAUGUUUCCGGACACCCGGACGGCCGCCCUGCGCGGCCACACGCGCAGUGCGAGCCACGGAGCGGCCGCGAUGCCCUCCGGCCUGCAGGCGCGGACGUCGACCUCGCCUCACGAGGACAUGGGCUCGACGGGCUCCAUCACGUCGCGUCCGUCGGCCCUGAAGAAGGGUCACCAGCGGGCCUUCUCGCACGGCCAGAUUGGCACCAACGAGCCAGGCUCGGUCGGUCUGUCCCGCGGCCACAACCGAGUCGGCUCUCGAACCGAGUUUAUUUUGCCGCCGGGACACAGGGACGAACCGCCGCCUCCACGUCCCAGGGCCGACUCGGUUCACUUCAAACCUGGACACUCGAGACAGGCGUCGCGCAGCGAGUCCAUCUACACCCUGAGGAACCAACCGCCUCCUAAAUGGACGGAUAAGUUGUUCUUCUGGCGGCGCCGUCCGGAAGAUGAAGCGACGCGCAAGGUGCGAGUGGUGGUGCCAAACCACACGGUGCCCGAGGGCACGCCGCCCAAGCAGCACCCCAACCACGUGUUUCCGGGCAACGAGGUGCGCACCACCAAGUACACGAUGCUGUCCUUCCUGCCCAAGAACUUAUUCGAGCAGUUCCACCGUGUGGCCAAUCUUUACUUUUUGUUCAUUGUGCUCCUCAACUGGUUCCCGGCCAUCAACGCGUUCGGCAAGGAGAUCGCCAUGAUCCCGGUCGCUUUCGUGCUCGGGGUCACGGCCAUCAAGGACGCCUUUGAGGACAGGCGCCGACACAACUCGGACAAACGCAUCAACAACUCCACCUGCCGUGUUUACAACAGCGCUCAAGAGCGGUACGUCAAGACUCUCUGGAAGAAUUUAAGGGCUGGCGACCUUGUGCACUUAUCCAACAACGAGUUGAUUCCUGCUGACGUUUUGCUGCUGAGAUCAUCAGAGGAACAUGGGGUUUGCUACAUAGACACUUGCAAUCUGGACGGCGAAACCAACCUGAAACAACGCUCGGUCGUGAGAGGAUUUGAAACAAAACAAGAUGCAUUUGAAGCAAGCCAAUUCCGCAGCCACAUCGAAGUUGAUCCACCGACUACCAAAAUCUACCGCUUCCACGGCACUGUUGUCCACGAGUCAGGAGAACGUGUGCCCAUUGGCACAGACAAUCUCCUUUUACGAGAGUGUGUCUUGAAAAACACAGACUUUGUAGAGGGCAUCGUCGUUUAUGCUGGUCAUGAAACGAAAGCCAUGUUGAACAACGGAGGGCCAAGAUACAAAAGAUCUCAGUUAGAGCGUGCGAUGAACCGAGAUGUUGUUUGGUGUGUGGUCAUCCUGGUUGUCCUUUGUAUCAUUGGGGCAAUAGGUUGUAGAUUUUGGCUGUCAUCAGUCACCUCAUCAACCUAUUGGCCUCUAUUCAUUACUGAAUACUUCUCCCCGGCAUACGAAGCAGUCCUCACUUUUUGGACCUACGUCAUUAUCCUCCAGGUUAUGAUCCCACUUUCGCUGUAUGUUACAAUUGAGAUGACAAAAAUUCUUCAAGUCUAUCACAUACACAACGAUCCUUAUCUCUACGAUGCCGAACGCAAAAAGCGUGUUGAGUGCAGAGCUUUGAAUAUCACGGAGGAAUUGGGUCAAGUGCAAUACAUAUUUUCUGAUAAAACAGGCACCUUAACUGAAAACAAAAUGAUUUUCCGAAGAUGCACCAUUGAUGGUAUUGAUUACAACCAUCCGCCAAUAGCCGAAUUACAGAAUUUAAGGCCUGGAGUGACAACUCCAAUUCACCCAAAUAUGAGACUGCAGGAGGAAAUCCAGGCGCUAGAGAGAGGAAUGAGACUUUCUAUCGACAGUGCACAUACCACCAGAACUCUCAAGUCAACUCACGAGCAGAGAGUUCAAGAGUUUUUUGUUCUUUUAGCUUUGUGCAAUACGGUAGUUGUAGCAAAACACCCUCAUCAUGACAGUAUGAACGCGAGUGGUGUAAUCGAGUCCCCUAGUGUGAUAAACAUUGAAGUUCAGAGCCAAGUGUCAAGCCUGUCCCAUUCAAAAACAAACUCAGUUGUUGACAAGUAUUCCCGACUGAACGAGUCGCGCUCUGUGACCCCCUCGCCAACAAGCACCAUCAGGCCUAGGAUUUUGGACUUGACAGGCCAAUCCUCUUUAUCCCCAAUUUGUUCUUCGAGUGAAAGCACGCCCUUAGGCACCCCUUCACCAAAGCCAGUCAAGAGGCUGACCAAUUUUCUCCGCGUGGGAAGGUCGAACAAACACAACCACUCGCCAGCUGUGACUCCAUCGCCGUCAGGAGAGAAAAAGCCCAUUUACGAGGCAGAAAGUCCCGAUGAGCUGGCGCUUGUUGAUGCUGCUUACACUUACAACUGCAGACUACUCAAGAGAGUAGGGAACACUGCGCUGAUUUCCGUGCCUGGUGAGGGCAUAGUUGAGUAUGAGGUGGUUCAAAUUUUGCCUUUCGACUCGUCCAGAAAGUCAAUGUCCGUGGUCGUCAGACAUCCAGUCAGCAAACAGCUAACUCUGUACACCAAAGGCGCUGAUUCAACAAUCUUGUGUCAAUUGGCCCCAUCAGAUGAUCCAGCAAUGCAGCAGUUUAUCUUCAACACCCAGCAGCAUUUGAAUUCAUACGCAAGGCAGGGCCUUCGUGUGUUAGUCAUGGCCAAGAGGAACCUCACUGAUGCUGAAUUCGAAGCGUGGCUCAUUCAACACAAAGACGCAGAAAUGAUGCAUGAUCGAGAACGCAGAGUCAGAGAGUCGUUCUGUCGGCUGGAGACGAAUCUUAUUCUUCUUGGCGCAACUGGCAUUGAAGACAGGCUUCAGGAUGGCGUGCCAGAGACCAUUGCGGCACUCCUGGAGGCUGGCAUUGUGAUUUGGGUGUUGACAGGUGAUAAGCAAGAGACGGCCAUCAACAUUGCCUACUCAGCAAAACUCUUUUCGCCUCAAAUGGAGCUCCUAAAAAUAUCAGCGAGAUCAAGGGACGCAGCUGAAAGCACCAUAACUGCCUAUUUGGAGGAUAUUGAGCGAGAACUGCCCAGAGGGUCGGGUCCGUCUUCAAACCCCUAUGCAUCGAUUGAUGAUUUGCCUCCACAUUUCCCCAAAAGAGCGCUUGUUGUUGACGGCAAGACUUUGACGUACAUUUUGGAUCAAAGAUCAAAUCUGAAAAAGCCUUUUCUCACGCUUACAAGGUUUUGCAGUUCAGUUCUGUGCUGCCGAGCAACUCCGUUGCAAAAGGCCUACAUUGUAAAAGUCGUCAAAGAGGUUCUCAAAAUGAGGACCCUUGCCAUAGGUGAUGGAGCCAACGACGUCUCCAUGAUUCAGACAGCAGACAUUGGUGUCGGAAUUUCAGGUCAAGAGGGCAUGCAGGCCGUGAUGGCUUCAGACUUUGCCCUUUCUAGAUUCAAGUAUCUUGAGCGCUUCCUUUUAGUCCAUGGCCACUGGUGUUACGACAGACUAGCCAGGAUGGUGCUGUACUUCCUGUACAAAAAUGCUACCUUUGUGUUCCUUAUCUUCUGGUACCAGCUGUAUUGCGGUUUUUCAGGCACAGUGAUGAUGGACCAAAUGUACCUAAUGCUUUACAAUCUUGUCUUCACCUCUCUUCCGCCAAUCGCAAUUGGAGUCUACGAUCAAGACGCUCCAGCAGAACUUCUGUUGUCGAAGCCUCGGCUCUACAAACAAGGUCGGCUUGGAUCCGUCUACAAACCAGCUUCUUUUUGGCUCACGAUGGCAGACUCUAUAUACCAGUCUUUGAUCAUGUUCUUUUUAACGCUAUUUGCGUACCAAGACACAACAGUUGGCAUAUGGGAGUUCGGAACAGCAAUCACAUCAACCUGCAUGUUUGUCAAUUUACUUCAUGUGGCUGUUGAAAUUAAAUCAUGGACCAUCAUUCACAUAUUAGCAAUGGCCGCCUCAAUUGGGGGUUUUUACACAUUUGCUUUUAUAUACAACUCUUUCUGUGUCAACUGCUUCGGCUUGCCAAGCACCUACUGGGUAGUCCACCAAACCCUGGGAAACAGUGUUUAUUGGUUCUCCACAAUUCUAGCCUCAGUACUGGCCCUUUUGCCAAGGUUUGUAAUCAAAGUGUUGAAGACGUGCAUGGCCCCGAACGAUGUGACCAAAGCACUUGUCGAGCACAGGAACAUCCGUAGAGGUAAACGCCUGCUCUAAAAUGUGCUGUCAAGAAACAAUUUUAACAUAUUUGGAUACGUGCCUACUAACAAUAUCGAACGAAUCUAGACAAAAGACUUUGAAGCCCGGCAGUCAAUUACCAGAAGUUGUCGGCUGACGUUGGCUCCCCGAACUUUUAUUCCCAUUAAUUUUUUAGAAGACUUUGCUGGCCUUGAACCCAGCGCUGUGAUAUCAGUACAUCCUUAAAUUAUUUGAAGAAUAUCUCUGUAAAUAUAGCUACGAGGAAAUUCAUUGAACUUGUAGCGUGAUAGUUUUUCAUUUUGUUGGUAUAACAUUCCGGAGGGCGCGGUGAGAGCAUUUAUUUUAAUAACCUUGAUCAAAAUCAUUACUAUCGUUUAGUUUCUCUGGGAAAAAUAGUCAUCAUGCUUCUGAAGCUGUUCUACUUGAAUGUUUUGAAUCAAUUUUUUACGAAUUAAAAUUUUUAGCUCAUCAUUAAUCAGAUUUUACUCUUUUUGUAAUUUUUUAUUCAAUCCAGCGAAUUGAGAAAAUUGACAAUACGCAAAGUACACCUGAGAGACAAAUUCAAUUAUUUUCAUACAUGGACCACACUAAUAAUGCUGCCUAUUGUACAGGCAUUUUGCGAAUGAUUUUGAAUCAAAGAAUUUUAAUGCUAUGUACCUCAGCCUUGCCGUUAACUUUUUAGUGAUAGAUCAAACGCAAGUAUAGUCUUUGUAUUUUCAUUUCCCUGCGCACCAAUUGGCCACCUGAGAGUGAAAAAUUAUAUUAGUUGAAUUGAAUAGUGGUAUAGUUGUGAUUUUUUUUCUUAAUUUGGGACCAUUUGGUGCUGCAAAGGAGAAACGGAAGCCUUGUUAAUAACUUUUGUUUUUAUAAAUAAGCAGUUGUAAAGUACGCAAAAGUGUAUUGAAUAAUUUAUAUUCUGUACUUAAAUAAAAUGCAGUAAUUUUCCAAA
RNA transcript from Neocloeon triangulifer, 5348 nucleotides. The record is from RefSeq and is a predicted model, not a curated record. NCBI's taxonomy places the organism in Eukaryota, Metazoa, Arthropoda, Insecta, Ephemeroptera, Baetidae.